CCUACGGGAGGCAGCAGUGGGGAAUUUUCCGCAAUGGGCGAAAGCCUGACGGAGCAAUACCGCGUGAGGGAUGAAAGCCUGUGGGUUGUAAACCUCUUUUCUCAAGGAAGAAGUUCUGACGGUACUUGAGGAAUAAGCAUCGGCUAACUCUGUGCCAGCAGCCGCGGUAAUACAGAGGAUGCAAGCGUUAUCCGGAAUCACUGGGCAUAAAGCGUCUGUAGGUUGCCUACCAAGUCUGCUGUUAAAGAUCGGGGCCUAACCCUGAGAAAGCAGUGGAAACUAGUAGGCUUGAGUGUGGUAGAGGUAGAGGGAAUUCCUGGUGUAGCGGUGAAAUGCGUAGAUAUUAGGAAGAACACCAACGGCGAAAGCACUCUACUGGGCCAUAACUGACACUGAGAGACGACAGCUAGGGGAGCAAAUGGGAUUAGAUACCCCAGUAGUCCUAGCCGUAAACGAUGGAUACUAGGUGUUGCACGUACUUAACCGUACGUCAGUAUCGUAGUACGUAAGGUACGUUAAGUUAGUCCCGUCCCGUCGGGAAGGUACGCGUCGCGAGAGUAGAAACGUUAAAGGUAAAGUUAGUUACGGCGUGAGAGUGCCGACGGACGACGACGAGGGAGGAGG
RNAcentral lists this ribosomal RNA (624 nucleotides) under uncultured bacterium. Its description in RNAcentral is "bacterial SSU rRNA". The stretch from base 1 to 531 matches the Rfam family "Bacterial small subunit ribosomal RNA", at positions 338 to 873 of the family's 1533-position model. The record is from RNAcentral.